UCUUCCGCAAUGGACGAAAGUCUGACGGAGCAACGCCGCGUGAGUGAAGAAGGCCUUCGGGUCGUAAAACUCUGUUAUCAGGGAAGAACAAGCAUCGUUUAACUGACGGUGCCAUGAUGGUACCUGACCAGAAAGCCACGGCUAACUACGUGCCAGCAGCCGUGGUAAUACGUAGGUGGCAAGCGUCGUCCGGAAUUAUUGGGCGUAAAGCGCGCGCAGGCGGCUUCUUAAGUCUGAUGUGAAAGCCCACGGCUCAACCGUGGAGGGUCAUUGGAAACUGGGAGGCUUGAGUGCAGAAGAGGGGAGCGGAAUUCCACGUGUAGCGGUGAAAUGCGUAGAGAUGUGGAGGAACACCAGUGGCGAAGGCGGCUCUCUGGUCUGUAACUGACGCUGAGGCGCGAAAGCGUGGGUAGCGAACAGG
Molecule: ribosomal RNA, 421 nt
Filed under: uncultured bacterium
Lineage: Bacteria
Description: bacterial SSU rRNA
Rfam family: Bacterial small subunit ribosomal RNA
Source: RNAcentral